GAUGAACGCUAGCUACAGGCUUAACACAUGCAAGUCGCGGGGCAGCAUGGGGGUUGCUUGCAAUCCCCGAUGGCGACCGGCGCACGGGUGAGUAACGCGUAUCCAACCUGUCCUUCACCACGGGAUAACCCGGCGAAAGUCGGACUAAUACCGUAUGUUGUCCAUUGACGGCAUCCGAUUUGGACGAAAGGCUUGGCGGUGAGGGAUGGGGAUGCGUCCGAUUAGCCAGACGGCGGGGUAACGGCCCACCGUGGCUACGAUCGGUAGGGGUUCUGAGAGGAAGGUCCCCCACACUGGAACUGAGACACGGUCCAGACUCCUACGGGAGGCAGCAGUGAGGAAUAUUGGUCAAUGGGCGUAAGCCUGAACCAGCCAAGUAGCGUGCAGGAUGACGGCCCUAUGGGUUGUAAACUGCUUUUAUGCGGGGAUAAAGUGGCCCACGUGUGGGCUUUUGCAGGUACCGCAUGAAUAAGGACCGGCUAAUUCCGUG
This 490-nucleotide ribosomal RNA is filed under the name uncultured bacterium. RNAcentral's name for it is "partial 16S ribosomal RNA". It matches the Rfam family "Bacterial small subunit ribosomal RNA", at positions 28 to 507 of the family's 1533-position model. The record is from RNAcentral.